This is an RNA transcript of Lolium rigidum, 1538 nucleotides long. RefSeq lists it as uncharacterized. Lineage: Eukaryota; Viridiplantae; Streptophyta; Magnoliopsida; Poales; Poaceae. The record is from RefSeq and is a predicted model, not a curated record. The transcript is spliced from 2 exons.
AGCUCGCUCCGCCGCUUUCCCUCUCACCGCCUCGCCUCGCCCGACCGUGUCUUAUUCGUCCCCGUCGUUUCCGGUUUUGAUUCUGCCCCGCGGGUUCCGGAUUCGCGUCGCCGCCGCUGGGUCCGAUUCGCCUCCGCCGCCGCCUGAUUAGAGUUCGGCGCCGCCACCACCAGUUGGGAGCUCUCUCCGCCAACCGUCUCAAGGUCCAUACACCCUCCGUUCACUCUCUCAUGGAUUUUUACUCAGCUUCCCGUCGACAGGCCAUGGACCCGUCGGGCUGGACAUCGCUCCCCUCCGACCUCGUCAGGCGCGUCGCGGACCUCUUCCUCGCCACCAGCGACGUGGACUACUACAUGAGCGUGCGCGCCGUGUGCCACAACUGGCGCGCCGCCACCGACGACCCGACCGGGCCGGACCCUCGCUUCACCCCCCGCGGAUGGGUUUUGGUCGCGUCUCUCGCCGGCGGUGAUCAAACCGGCCGCCGCUGUCUCUUUCUCCAUGUCAACACCGGCCGUUUCCUGUGGAAGGGCCCGCUCCGCAGCUACACCUGUGUUGCCUCCACUGAGGACGACCACCUAGUCUUAGAGCCGGCAUCCAGGAACUCCAGGAUCUGCCUCCUCAAUCCCAUGACUGGCCACCUAGUCAGCUUGCCCGUAACUACGGCGCAGUUUCUCGGGGACAACCAAUUUGGUCUCAGUCACGACAGAAACAUGUUCGCGACAGGCUCUUCAUCGAUGGUGCUCUACAGCUUUUUUGAUUCCAGUUCUGGCGGGUGCAUCGAUCUGACCUGGGAUGCUGUUUAUAAUCGGGAGUCACUGUUCAAAGCCAUGACGGGUAUGUUUGCCUCCAUGGUGCCCUUCAAUGGUCGCGCUUACGCCGUGAACGAGAAUGGGUCAGUCGCUGUGGUGGAACACAACUGCAGGCUGGAUGAGAAGCCUGAGGUCACCAGGGUUAUCACCGGCAGCUGGAAUUGGAUGGACGGCCGCAACACGUUCCUUGUUGACAAUGCAGGGGAGCUGCUGGUUGUGAGCCUUCUGGUGUCGCGGAGAGAGGUGCAGGUCUUCAGGGUGGAUCUCAAGAAUGGACUUUUGGAGCAGAUUAAGGGUAUUGGCAACCGUGCUAUCUUCCUUGGCAAGCGGCGGUGUUUGUCGGUUGAUGCUUAUAAAUUCCAAGCCAUCGAAAGCAACUGCAUCUACUACAUUGGCAAUCGCUUUGGCUUCGACUGCGGGAUUUUCAUGCAUUGCCUCAAGGACGGCAGCCAUGUGAAACUCUUUGAGUCCUGUUGUGUCCCGGAGGGCCCCAAGAGUCUUGCCAGAGUUAUCAUGGAGUAUGCUUGCUAUGGACAUAAUGCUUAGUGCUGCAUAACAAUCCGUUACUUUCUUCUCAUCCAAGGGGAAAAAAUGUCUUGUGUGUUCGUUGCAAACUGAUGGCCGGUUGCCUCAGGGUGAACGCACAUUAAAGCGGAUGCAUACACAAAGGACCUGAUUGGUUGCUAACAAAGGCUUCUCCAGUAUCUAGUGGGCAACCCUGCUUGACUC